Molecule: ribosomal RNA, 253 nt
Filed under: uncultured Gracilibacter sp.
Lineage: Bacteria; Bacillati; Bacillota; Clostridia; Eubacteriales; Gracilibacteraceae
Description: partial 16S ribosomal RNA
Rfam family: Bacterial small subunit ribosomal RNA
Source: RNAcentral
UACGUAGGUGGCAAGCGUUGUCCGGAAUUAUUGGGCGUAAAGGGCGCGUAGGCGGCACUUUAAGUCAGAUGUGAAAACCCGGGGCUCAACCCCGGAGGUGCAUUUGAAACUGGAGAGCUUGAGUGCAGGAGAGGUAAGUGGAAUUCCUAGUGUAGCGGUGAAAUGCGUAGAUAUUAGGAGGAACACCAGUGGCGAAGGCGACUUACUGGACUGUAACUGACGCUGAGGCGCGAAAGCGUGGGGAGCAAACAGG